This 465-nucleotide ribosomal RNA is filed under the name Vreelandella stevensii. Its description in RNAcentral is "partial 16S ribosomal RNA". It matches the Rfam family "Bacterial small subunit ribosomal RNA", at positions 338 to 795 of the family's 1533-position model. Lineage: Bacteria; Pseudomonadati; Pseudomonadota; Gammaproteobacteria; Oceanospirillales; Halomonadaceae. The record is from RNAcentral.
CCUACGGGUGGCAGCAGUGGGGAAUAUUGGACAAUGGGGGGAACCCUGAUCCAGCCAUGCCGCGUGUGUGAAGAAGGCCCUCGGGUUGUAAAGCACUUUCAGUGAGGAAGAACGCCUGGUGGUUAAUACCCAUCAGGAAAGACAUCACUCACAGAAGAAGCACCGGCUAACUCCGUGCCAGCAGCCGCGGUAAUACGGAGGGUGCGAGCGUUAAUCGGAAUUACUGGGCGUAAAGCGCGCGUAGGUGGCUUGAUAAGCCGGUUGUGAAAGCCCCGGGCUCAACCUGGGAACGGCAUCCGGAACUGUUAGGCUAGAGUGCAGGAGAGGAAGGUAGAAUUCCCGGUGUAGCGGUGAAAUGCGUAGAGAUCGGGAGGAAUACCAGUGGCGAAGGCGGCCUUCUGGACUGACACUGACACUGAGGUGCGAAAGCGUGGGUAGCAAACAGGAUUAGAUACCCUUGUAGUC